RNAcentral lists this ribosomal RNA (253 nucleotides) under uncultured bacterium. Its description in RNAcentral is "partial 16S ribosomal RNA". It matches the Rfam family "Bacterial small subunit ribosomal RNA", at positions 524 to 776 of the family's 1533-position model. The record is from RNAcentral.
GACAGAGGGGGCAAGCGUUGCUCGGAAUCACUGGGCGUAAAGGGCGCGUAGGCGGGAUGGCAAGUCGGUCGUGAAAUCCUUCGGCUCAACCGAAGAACGUCGGCCGAUACUGCCGUUCUUGAGGGAUGCAGAGGAGAUUGGAGUUCCCGGUGUAGCGGUGAAAUGUGUAGAGAUCGGGAGGAACACCGGUGGCGAAGGCGGGUCUCUGGGCCGUAACUGACGCUGAGGAGCGAAAGCGUGGGGAGCGAACAGG